CCCUUAGAUGUUCUGGGCUGCACGCGCGCUACACUGAUGCGAUCAACAAGUUUUUCCUAUGUCGAUAGACACGGGUAAUCUUUUGAACUCGCAUCGUGAUGGGGAUAGAUUAUUGUAAUUAUUAAUCUUCAACGAGGAAUUCCUAGUAGGUGCAAAUCAUCAGUUUGCAUCGAUUACGUCCCUGCCCUUUGUACACACCGCCCGUCGCUGCUACCGAUUGGUUGAUCUGGUGAAUUAUUCGGACUGCCGGCUGAAGGGGUUUCCUCAUCUGCCAGCGGAAAGUCUUGUUAACCCUAUCAACUAGAGGAAGCAGAAGUCGUAACG
This 324-nucleotide ribosomal RNA is filed under the name uncultured eukaryote. Its description in RNAcentral is "partial 18S ribosomal RNA". It matches the Rfam family "Eukaryotic small subunit ribosomal RNA", at positions 1470 to 1796 of the family's 1831-position model. The record is from RNAcentral.